GGUUUUACAGGCAUACUACAAUCCAGGAUUGCUGUGCUCUAUGUGCUAUGUAUAGUCCUAUUAGUAGCUAUUUGUUGCAAGAUACUUGGAGCCAAAUAAUGUUUACAGUAUAGGUUCCUGGCUACUCUUUAUGCUGUAAUUUCACUCUGUCUAUCAUGGGCAGUAUUAGAAAAUACACUGGGUUUUCACACACUAUCAGUAUUUUACCUGGAUUGUAGUGGAGAAUUUAGCAUAUUGAUGCAUGCAAUGGGAAAAAAAAGAAUUUUGUUAAAAUUUGUAAAUGUUCAUAAAAAUCCCAGAUAUACAGUGGGAUGA
Molecule: long non-coding RNA, 315 nt
Filed under: Homo sapiens (human)
Lineage: Eukaryota; Metazoa; Chordata; Mammalia; Primates; Hominidae
Description: non-protein coding lnc-SF3B5-4:1
Source: RNAcentral